RNAcentral lists this ribosomal RNA (451 nucleotides) under uncultured organism. RNAcentral describes it as "bacterial SSU rRNA". It matches the Rfam family "Bacterial small subunit ribosomal RNA", at positions 346 to 789 of the family's 1533-position model. The record is from RNAcentral.
GUGCAGCAGGCGAGAAUUUUUCUCAAUGGGGGAAACCCUGAAGGAGCGACGCCGCGUGGGGGAUGAAUGGCUUCGGCCCGUAAACCCCUGUCAUUUGUCGAUCAAACCUUACGACUUAACACGUCGUAAGCUGAUAGUAGCGAAAGAGGAAGGGACGGCUAACUCUGUGCCAGCAGCCGCGGUAAUACAGAGGUCCCAAGCGUUGUUCGGAUUCACUGGGCGUAAAGGGUGCGUAGGCGGUCGGGUAAGUCUGACGUGAAAUCUUCAAGCUCAACUUGGAAACUGCGUCCGAUACUAUUCGGCUAGAGGAAUGGAGGGGAGGACUGGAAUACUUGGUGUAGCAGUGAAAUGCGUAGAUAUCAAGUGGAACACCAGUGGCGAAGGCGGGUCUCUGGACAUUUCCUGACGCUGAGGCACGAAGCCAGGGGAGCAAACGGGAUUAGAUACCCCU